Molecule: non-coding RNA, 97 nt
Filed under: Weissella kandleri
Lineage: Bacteria; Bacillati; Bacillota; Bacilli; Lactobacillales; Lactobacillaceae
Description: Guanine sequence
Rfam family: Purine riboswitch aptamer
About the family: Riboswitches are metabolite binding domains within certain messenger RNAs that serve as precision sensors for their corresponding targets. Allosteric rearrangement of mRNA structure is mediated by ligand binding, and this results in modulation of gene expression.
Source: Rfam by way of RNAcentral
UAAUUAAAUCAAUUAAACCUUAGUAUAAUCAUCGGAGAAUGGCCGGUGAGACCUACCCACACCUAAGCUGUGGACUACUAAGGAAUGUAUUUAACGU